Molecule: ribosomal RNA, 460 nt
Filed under: uncultured bacterium
Lineage: Bacteria
Description: partial 16S ribosomal RNA
Rfam family: Bacterial small subunit ribosomal RNA
Source: RNAcentral
CCUACGGGAGGCAGCAGUGAGGAAUAUUGGUCAAUGGGCUUACGCCUGAACCAGCCAAGUCGCGUGAGGGAAGACUGCCCUAUGGGUUGUAAACCUCUUUUGUCAGGGAGCAACGCCGGCUACGUGUAGCCGGACUGAGAGUACCUGAAGAAAAAGCAUCGGCUAACUCCGUGCCAGCAGCCGCGGUAAUACGGAGGAUGCGAGCGUUAUCCGGAUUGAUUGGGUUUAAAGGGUGCGUAGGCGGAAUGCCAAGUCAGCGGUAAAAUCGCGGGGCUCAACCUGGGUCCGCCGUUGAAACUGGCGUUCUUGAGUGGGCGAGAAGUAUGCGGAAUGCGUGGUGUAGCGGUGAAAUGCAUAGAUAUCACGCAGAACUCCGAUUGCGAAGGCAGCAUACCGGCGCCCAACAGACGCUGAAGCACGAAAGCGUGGGUAUCGAACAGGAUUAGAUACCCGGGUAGUC